AAUAGGCUUGGUCCUGGCCUUUCUAUUAGCUCUUAGCAAGAUUACACAUGCAAGCAUCCCCACCCCGGUGAAGACGCCCUAUUAAUCAUCAUGAUCAAGAGGAGCAAGUAUCAAGCACGCACACGCAGCUCAAAACGCUUUGCCUAGCCACACCCCCACGGGAGACAGCAGUGACAAAUAUUUAGCAAUAAACGAAAGUUCAACUAAGCCAUGCUAUAUUUAGGGUUGGUCAAUUUCGUGCCAGCUACCGCGGUCACACGAUUAACCCUAGCUAAUAGAGACCGGCGUAGAGGGUGUUUAAGAUCUGACAUAAUAAAGCUAAACUCCAUCUAAACUGUAAAACCCUAGCUAAUGUAAAAUAAACUACGAAAGUGGCUUUAAAACUUCUGAACACACAAUAGCCAAGACCCAAACUGGGAUUAGACACCCCACUAUGCUUGGCCCUAAACCUCAGUAGUUAGAUAACAAAACUACUCGCCAGAAUACUACAAGCAACAGCUUAAAACUCAAAGGACUUGACGGUGCUUUACACCCCCUAGAGGAGCCUGUUUCGUAAUCGAUAAACCCCGAUCCACCCCACCCUCUCUUGCUCAGCCUAUAUACCGCCAUCUUCAGCAAACCCUGAUAAAGGUCACAAAGUGAGCGCAAACGCCACCACCGCGAAGACGUUAGGUCAAGGUGUAGCCCAUGAGACGGUAAAAAUGGGCUACAUUUUCUAUCUCAGAAAACUCUACGAAAACCCUUAUGAAAUCUAAGAGUCCAAGGAGGAUUUAGCAGUAAAUUAAGAAUAGAGUGCUUAAUUGAACCAGGCCAUAAAGCGCGCACACACCGCCCGUCACUCCUCUCAAAUAUAUUUAAGGAAUAUCUUAACUAAACGCCCAAAUAUUUAUAUAGAGAGGAUAAGUCGUAACAUGGUAAGCGUACUGGAAGGUGCGCUUGGACAAA
This 945-nucleotide non-coding RNA is filed under the name Macaca fascicularis aureus. RNAcentral's name for it is "12S ribosomal RNA". It matches the Rfam family "Bacterial small subunit ribosomal RNA". Lineage: Eukaryota; Metazoa; Chordata; Mammalia; Primates; Cercopithecidae. The record is from RNAcentral.